Long non-coding RNA from Astatotilapia calliptera (eastern happy), 678 nucleotides. The record is from Ensembl. NCBI's taxonomy places the organism in Eukaryota, Metazoa, Chordata, Actinopteri, Cichliformes, Cichlidae.
GAUUUUUUGAAUUAAUAUUUACCAUAUUUCAGCCAAAUGUAGUUAAACGUCUAGAGUGUCGCCAUGUAACAUGCUAAAAAAGAGCCGUUAGCUUAUUUGCUGUUUUAUCUGUUGUCAAAGAAUUGGCGCUUUUUCAUUUGAAUUUGUCUUUGGCACAAGAGCCGUAAUAUCACAUUAAACCUAAUUAUGAGGCACUCAUAACAUAAUUUGGUUUUCUGUGUGAAUAGAUUUGCCAACUGACUCUUCAGUUACAUUGUGUAUUUACUGCACCGUGGUGUUAGUGAGAUUUUGGACAUUGAACAGCUUUAGCUAAUAUCAUCAGCGGCAUUAUGCUAGCUUACAUCCCUACCCCUCCUGGCCUCACCUGCUGUCCUUUUGUUUUUGUUUUUUUUGCUGCACAUUGAGAGACCACAUCUAUUCUGCAUUUCACCAGGAGUCAGCUGAUGGAUUGUGGGUUCAAGGUGUUAUGAUGAAAUGCAGCAUUCCAGUGCAUCCCAACCAUGCCUUUACAGUCAAGGUUUCUGACGGAGCUGAGUUUCUCUCUGACAGUCUGCUGAAAGUGUUUGCAAAGUGAUCGGGGGAACAGUGCACAAAGCUAAAGGAUGUAGCUGCCAUGAUGACAGAUGACAUUAAUGCUCAAAGGGAGUCUCAUCAAAGUGCUCCGCAUCUGUGUGAAAG